This 650-nucleotide ribosomal RNA is filed under the name bacterium ZK-1. RNAcentral's name for it is "bacterial SSU rRNA". It matches the Rfam family "Bacterial small subunit ribosomal RNA", at positions 49 to 685 of the family's 1533-position model. The record is from RNAcentral.
CUAUANUGCAGUCGAGCGAUCGANNGGAGCUUGCUCCCUGAGAUUAGCGGCGGACGGGUGAGUAACACGUGGGCAACCUGCCUAUAAGACUGGGAUAACUUCGGGAAACCGGAGCUAAUACCGGAUACGUUCUUUUCUCGCAUGAGAGAAGAUGGAAAGACGGUUUACGCUGUCACUUAUAGAUGGGCCCGCGGCGCAUUAGCUAGUUGGUGAGGUAAUGGCUCACCAAGGCGACGAUGCGUAGCCGACCUGAGAGGGUGAUCGGCCACACUGGGACUGAGACACGGCCCAGACUCCUACGGGAGGCAGCAGUAGGGAAUCUUCCGCAAUGGACGAAAGUCUGACGGAGCAACGCCGCGUGAACGAAGAAGGCCUUCGGGUCGUAAAGUUCUGUUGUUAGGGAAGAACAAGUACCAGAGUAACUGCUGGUACCUUGACGGUACCUAACCAGAAAGCCACGGCUAACUACGUGCCAGCAGCCGCGGUAAUACGUAGGUGGCAAGCGUUGUCCGGAAUUAUUGGGCGUAAAGCGCGCGCAGGUGGUUCCUUAAGUCUGAUGUGAAAGCCCACGGCUCAACCGUGGAGGGUCAUUGGAAACUGGGGAACUUGAGUGCAGAAGAGGAAAGUGGAAUUCCAAGUGUAGCGGUNAA